Molecule: non-coding RNA, 307 nt
Organism: Camelina sativa (false flax)
Lineage: Eukaryota; Viridiplantae; Streptophyta; Magnoliopsida; Brassicales; Brassicaceae
Source: RefSeq, a predicted model, not a curated record
GUUACAGCUUGCGAGAUGUAUAGAAGUUGGACUCCCAGCAUUGAUCAUACUGAUAAUUUUAUCUCAGUAUCUUCCUCACUUGUUCAAGUGUAAAAGAUCGAUAUGCGAGCAAUUCGCUGUUCUGUUUACAAUAGCGAUCGUCUGGGCUUACGCAGAGAUUCUGACUGCAGCUGGAGCUUACGACAAAAGACCUGAUAAUACACAGCUCAGUUGUCGAACAGACCGGUCAGGUCUCAUUAGUGCUUCUCCAUGGGUGAGAGUUCCAUAUCCAUUGCAAUGGGGACGUCCAAGUUUUCAUGGAAGCGAU